RNAcentral lists this ribosomal RNA (713 nucleotides) under Empedobacter brevis. RNAcentral describes it as "bacterial SSU rRNA". It matches the Rfam family "Bacterial small subunit ribosomal RNA", at positions 85 to 799 of the family's 1533-position model. Lineage: Bacteria; Pseudomonadati; Bacteroidota; Flavobacteriia; Flavobacteriales; Weeksellaceae. The record is from RNAcentral.
GAACUAGAGACCGGCGCACGGGUGCGUAACGCGUAUGCAACUUGCCCUACUGAAAAGGAUAGCCCUUCGAAAGGAGGAUUAAUACUUUAUAAUAGAAAUCAUGGCAUCAUGAAUUUUUGAAAGAUUUAUCGCAGUAGGAUAGGCAUGCGUAAGAUUAGUUAGUUGGUGAGGUAACGGCUCACCAAGACGAUGAUCUUUAGGGGGCCUGAGAGGGUGAACCCCCACACUGGUACUGAGACACGGACCAGACUCCUACGGGAGGCAGCAGUGAGGAAUAUUGGACAAUGGGUGGAAGCCUGAUCCAGCCAUCCCGCGUGUAGGAUGACGGCCUUAUGGGUUGUAAACUACUUUUAUCUGGGGAUAAACCUACUUACGUGUAAGUAGCUGAAGGUACCAGAAGAAUAAGCACCGGCUAACUCCGUGCCAGCAGCCGCGGUAAUACGGAGGGUGCAAGCGUUAUCCGGAUUUAUUGGGUUUAAAGGGUCCGUAGGCGGAUUAAUCAGUCAGUGGUGAAAUCUCAUAGCUUAACUAUGAAACUGCCAUUGAUACUGUUAGUCUUGAGUGAUGUUGAAGUUGCUGGAAUGUGUAGUGUAGCGGUGAAAUGCUUAGAUAUUACGCAGAACACCAAUUGCGAAGGCAGGUGACUAAACAUCAACUGACGCUGAUGGACGAAAGCGUGGGGAGCGAGAGGAUGAGAUCCCUGGUAGUCCACG